RNA transcript from Sipha flava (yellow sugarcane aphid), 3707 nucleotides. It is a transcript of the gene named sphingomyelin phosphodiesterase, with no coding region annotated. The transcript is spliced from 13 exons. The record is from RefSeq and is a predicted model, not a curated record. Lineage: Eukaryota; Metazoa; Arthropoda; Insecta; Hemiptera; Aphididae.
UACACGAAAAUCUACUGGUUUGCAGUGGAAGUCGGUAUUCCGAUGCGUGUGAUACUUUCUAUCGUACCGUGUCCGGCAGUCCUUGCGUAUCCGGCAUCGUGCAGUCGUGUAGUUGUCAUCCUGCGGUCGGAUAAACAUUUUUUUUUUUUUUCUAACAGUUCUCGUGAUUAAAUAAAAUUUGAAAACGGUUUCGCACGUACAACUUCUAUCGCUGUGAGCCUAUCGGAGUGACGUCCGCCGCGUUUCGUAAUAACAAUAUUAUCUUUAGUCGAAGAUUUUUCAAUUUUUUGUCAUUUUUUUCCUCCAGUACUUUUAUCCAAUUCACCUUCAUCAUCCUCCUCCUCUAGGGCGAACAUGACGUGUUCGACGCUGUAGGACGCGAAUUCUCCCGCCGCCGAAAGAAAAUCGUGCCGACCGUUGCCGAUUCGCAUGCGGUGGUUGUUUUGAAUACGGAACACAAGUGGCUCGCAUAUUCAUAACAUAUUAUGCUGUUCAGGCUGCUAACAACAUGGUCAUAUCAGAUUUUAUCGUUCAUUACUGUGUAUGCAAUCUUCACAGCAGGAAUUCCAAUAGAAAAACCCCGAAAGGCAAUACCACAAUGGACUACUCACAAUAUGUCUUUGUGGGAAGACAUAAUACUAUUAAGCUCAGACAACGAACACCAGCCGGCGCUUAUGAUAAACCACACUGGUGUAUACAUUGCCCCAGACAUCGAAAAAAUGGAAAACGAGACAUUAAGAAAAUUCCAAAUUUUAAAAACAAAUUAUGCGAAGUAUUUUUAUGAAGUCGACGGUAAGCCAAAUAAAGAAGAUAGUCGCGCUUCUCGAGCUGCUCUGCCUCGGUUCGUGGACAAAGCAUUACAAUUGCUCAAUUUAAAUCAAGUAGUGGGUGAAGUGGAAACUAGUGUUAUGUCAAAAAUGUCAUGUACGGCUUGUAAGGCCGGAGCUGGUUUUCUACAACACUAUAUAAAGACUGGAAAAACACGCGAUGACAUCGUCAAAAUUACUUACCAAUUUUGCACAAGCUUUAAAUUACAAACCCCGCGUGUCUGCGAGGGUAUAACCGAAUUGUUUAGUGGUGAAGUAGUUUACGUUCUACAGAGAAUAAACAUUGGGCCAGAAGAAAUCUGUAGUUUUGUAAUUGGCGAUGCGUGUGGGGAUGUAUACAAUCCAACACAUGAAUGGGAUGUAGUUUUUCCUCCUGUUCCCAAACCUACUCCAAUCGAAACUAAAAUAUUAAAAAACUUAUUUCAGGAACCAGUCCCACAAUUUAAAGUGCUCCAUUUAUCCGACACCCAUUUUGAUCCUUAUUAUGAAGAAGGAACAAAUGCUGAUUGCAAUGAACCUCUAUGUUGUCGUUUGACCAAUGGUCCAGCAGUCAGUCCUCAAAAUCGAGCAGGAAGAUGGGGAGAUUAUAGAAAGUGUGACACACCUAAACGUACUAUAGACAAUAUGCUUCAACAUAUUGUUGCUACACAUACUGACAUUGAUUAUAUAAUAUGGACGGGUGAUCUACCAGCACACGACAUUUGGAAUCAGACAAAAGAAGAAAAUUUAAGCAUACUAAAAGAAACUGUAGCUCAGUUACUAAAAAUGUUUCCGGGGAUUCCCAUUUUCCCAGCACUUGGUAAUCACGAAGCUGUUCCAGUAAAUAGUUUCCCUCCAUCUUCAUUGGUUAACAAACCAGAAUAUGCGAUUGACUGGUUGUACAGUGAAUUAGACACUCAAUGGCGCCGUUGGUUACCAGGUUCUGUCAGUAGAACUAUCAAACGUGGAGCAUUCUACAGUGUGUUGGUCCGACCAGGCUUCCGCAUUAUAUCCCUGAACAUGAAUUACUGCAACAAUAAGAAUUGGUGGCUAUUAAUAAAUAGUACUGAUCCAGUCAAAGAACUUCAAUGGUUUAUAUACGAGUUGCAAAAUGCCGAGUUUAAUGGAGAAAAAGUUCAUGUAUUAGGGCAUAUACCACCAGGACAUCCAGAUUGUUUAAAAGUCUGGAGUCGAAACUAUUAUGCCAUAAUCUCAAGAUACGAAAGCACAAUAACAGCUCAAUUUUUUGGCCAUACUCAUUUUGAUGAAUUUGAACUGUUCUAUGAUACACAAAAUCUUGGUAGAGCAGUUAGCAUUGCAUAUGUUGGUCCCUCUGUCACCCCAUACUAUGAUCUGAAUCCCGGUUACAGAAUAUAUUACGUAGAUGGCGAUAGAGAGCAUUCAACCAGAUCAGUAUUAGACCACGAGACAUGGGUAAUGAAUUUAAAAGAAGCUAAUUUAUAUGACUAUCCUAUCUGGCAAAAAUUGUAUUCUACACAAGCUGCAUAUAACUUACCCUCAUUGAGACCUGAAGACUGGGAUGUUUUUGUCAGUCAUUUGGUAGAAGAUCAAACAACAUUUGAUCUUUACUACAAGCAUUAUUGGAAAAACUCACCAACAAGACCUGCGUGUGAUGCAGAAUGUAAAAAACGUAUGAUAUGUGAUCUUCGAUCAGGUCGUUCACAUGAUCGUAAAAUUCUUUGUCAAGAAAUUGAAUCUCGUAUUGACGCUGGGACCAGAAUUAGUUGGCGUGCAUGGCUCUACAAUGGAUUCACUGCAUCGAUGUCUGUAAUUAUGUCCAUACCUCACUAUACGUACCAGAUACCAAAAUACCUACUAGGAUAUACCAGAUGAGCAAAAUUGAUAAGUAAUGUGAACAAUUCAAAUGUAUUGUUAACUGCAAGUACGGUCAUUGAAAAGAACAGAUAAAUUGGAAGACUAAAUCUACUCUGAAACAUUUGCUCAUUACAACGAUCAAACAAAAACAAUAUGAUUAGAAAUUAAAUAUUGACCACAAUCAUCAUGAUCAAAAAACCAGGCAAAGAUAACACUGACCCGUGUAACUACAGACCUAUUAGUUUACUGUCAUCAGUUUCAAAAAUAUUUGAAAAAAUUAUACACUCCAGGCUCACCAAUUAUUUAAAUGCAAUAAAUGCUAUUCCGCAUAUGCAAUUUGGAUUCAAAUCAAAUCAUUCAACUACCCAACAACUACGUCUAACAGAACAUAUAAGCGAUGGUUACGAAAAAAAACAACAUACAGGUGCCGCCUUUUUAGAUGUAGCCCAAGCUUUUGAUCGGGUCUGGCAUGACGGACUCUUAUAUAAACUAAAAAUGUUAAACACCCCAAAUGCUAUUUACAAUCUAAUCAAAUCCUACCUCACUGCUCGCUGUUUUAAAGUCAUUAUAAACGACACUACUUCACAAAUAAAAAUUAUAAAUGCAGGUGUACCUCAAGGCUCAAAAAUUUCUCCGUUACUUUUUAACCUAUAUGUUUCAGACUUUCCCAUAUCAAUUAAUACGGAAAUAGCACUUUAUGCCGACGACAGCGCAAUAUAUUCAAGCUCUACAGACGUUGAAACAGUGACAAAAAAUAUUCAAGACCACCUGAAUGACAUCCAAAAAUGGGAAGAUAAAUGGAAAAUCAAACUGAACCCUCAAAAAAGCACAGCAGUUCUUUUCACUAAUCGCCGCCCCAAAACUCCCGGCAAUUUAAAACUGUAUGGCAAUAACAAUCCCUGGUCACCUAGCAUCAAAUAUCUCGGCGUAAUAUUAGACAGGAAACUAACUUGGAACCCACACAUCACCUCUAAACUUCAACAAGGCUACCAGAGACUAAAGAUACUUUAUCCAUUGCUAAACCGACAAUCAUCGCUAAGCUGGAAAUGCUCUAUUUUGAUAUAC